This is a long non-coding RNA of Apis dorsata (giant honeybee), 469 nucleotides long. RefSeq lists it as uncharacterized. The record is from RefSeq and is a predicted model, not a curated record. Lineage: Eukaryota; Metazoa; Arthropoda; Insecta; Hymenoptera; Apidae. The transcript has 2 exons.
GUUUAAAACGAUUCACCAUACAAUUUACAACGGAAAAAUAAUUAUUAAAAUAUUUUAUUUUAUAUGCAAUGAAUAAAUGUUAUAAAAAAAUAUUAUAUUUAAAGAAAAGAUUUAAAAGUGAUAUAAAAGGAGGUGAUGUGAUAUUGAUAUAAAUGUCUUACCUUGACUUUGAGUGUCAAAAUUUUCUGUAGUUUCUGCAGGUGCUGACGUGGAUGUGGAAAUUUCAUCAUUUUUUUUCAUGAGUGCCUAACAUAUAAUGAAAACUGUAUAAAAUUUGUCUUUAAUUAAUUAUAAUUGAUAAUAAUUACUUGUGCAAUAAUGGAUGCUACUUUUUCUUUAUCCACUGCUGUAUGAAUUCGCUUAUUUUUCAAAUGAUGUGGAGUAUCUCUACGAUGAAGUCUAUUUGGUCUAUUUGAAUCACCACUACCAUCAUAAUCUGUACCUUCAGCUAUAGAAAAUUCUACAUGUC